UCUGCAGCUGGUCUAUCCGAC
RNAcentral lists this unclassified non-coding RNA (21 nucleotides) under Chlamydomonas reinhardtii. RNAcentral describes it as "small RNA Cre_2776". The record is from RNAcentral. Lineage: Eukaryota; Viridiplantae; Chlorophyta; Chlorophyceae; Chlamydomonadales; Chlamydomonadaceae.